AAUGAACGCUGGCGGCAUGCCUAACACAUGCAAGUCGAACGAGAUCUUCGGGUCUAGUGGCGCACGGGUGCGUAACGCGUGGGAAUCUGCCCUUUGGUUCGGAAUAAUAGUUGGAAACGACUGCUACUACCGGAUGAUGACGAAAGUCCAAAGAUUUAUCGCCAGAGGAUGAGCCCGCGCAGGAUUAGCUAGUUGGUGUGGUAAAGGCGCACCCAGGCGACGAUCCUUAGCUGGGCUGAGAGGAUGAUCAGCCACACUGGGACUAAGACACGGCCCAGACUCCUACGGGAGGCAGCAGUGGAGAAUAUUGGACCAUGGGCGAAAGCCUGAUCCAGCAAUGCCGCGUGAGUGAUGAAGGCCUUAGGGUUGUAAAGCUCUUUUACCCGGGAUGAUAAUGACAGUACCGGGAGAAUAAGCUCCGGCUAACUCCGUGCCAGCCGCCGCCGUAA
RNAcentral lists this ribosomal RNA (449 nucleotides) under uncultured bacterium. Its description in RNAcentral is "partial 16S ribosomal RNA". It matches the Rfam family "Bacterial small subunit ribosomal RNA", at positions 29 to 523 of the family's 1533-position model. The record is from RNAcentral.